GUCCCCGUAGCUCAGUCGGAUAGAGCGUCGGAUUCCUAAUCCGAAGGUCACAGGUUCGAAUCCUGUCGGGGACACCA
This 77-nucleotide transfer RNA is filed under the name Alphaproteobacteria bacterium. RNAcentral describes it as "tRNA-Arg". It matches the Rfam family "tRNA". From Rfam's summary of the family: Transfer RNA (tRNA) molecules are approximately 80 nucleotides in length. Their secondary structure includes four short double-helical elements and three loops (D, anti-codon, and T loops). Lineage: Bacteria; Pseudomonadati; Pseudomonadota; Alphaproteobacteria. The record is from RNAcentral.